GACAGAGGUGCCGAGCGUUAGGCGGAAUCACUGGGCUUAAAGCGUGUGUAGGCGGGCGAUCAAGUGCCUUGUGAAAUCCCACGGCUCAACCGUGGAACCGCUGGGUAUACUGGUUGUCUUGAGCCGGCUAGGGGCGAGCGGAACAGACGGUGGAGCGGUGAAAUGCGUAGAUAUCGUCUGGAACGCCGAAGGUGAAAACAGCUCGCUGGGGCCGCGCUGACGCUGAGACACGAAAGCCAGGGGAGCGAACGGGG
This 254-nucleotide ribosomal RNA is filed under the name uncultured bacterium. Its description in RNAcentral is "partial 16S ribosomal RNA". It matches the Rfam family "Bacterial small subunit ribosomal RNA", at positions 524 to 777 of the family's 1533-position model. The record is from RNAcentral.